CAGAUCUUAAUUUUUAAAGAUUCCUGUUUGUUGUUUUUUUCAUGUUGCCUUCAAAGGGCUACUUUCGGCCAAGUGCCAUGGGAGAUAUUUGGAGGUUGAAGGAUUUUCCUUUGCCUUUAAUGCUUUGAUCAGCAAAGCAAAGCCUCAAACAGAAAUCCAAGCCAGGCAGGAGGGUGGCAGAGCGGGAGAACGGGUUCUGGGGAGCGUCCCAUUCCUUGAACUUCCUUCAGUAAUCAAGGAGACCUUGUGUGGUGCCCCCUAAGUGCUGGGCGUUGAGCUGGAGCUAGGCUUACAGAGGGCAAUCAGCUGGACAUCGCGUGUCCCACCUGGAGCGUACAGCCGUGGGAGAGGCAGGCAGAGAUAAAGAAAAUGAGGCAAGUGAAGACAUGCUUGCAUGCUAUAACAAAGGUCACGGAGGAGAGGUGCCUGGCACAGUGACAGUGCAUAACUUGCGCAAUUAGCCCAAGGGAUCAGAGAAGCCUUCUGAGGGAGGCACAUUUCCCUGAGAUCUGAAGGUCUCUCCCCAGUCCCCCAGAGUAAGCUCCAGGCGAGGACCUUGCCUGUCUCCCUCUGGGCCGGUGCCGGACGUGGGAGCAGGUGCCCGAUGCACACUCCACUGGAUGAGAUGGAGGGUUUCUGCGUCGUCUUUCUCCCAGUAACGGAGGCGGCGGUGACAGACUGAGUUGGCUAUGAUGCGUUUACCAGAAGGUUAACUCCUUCACCCAGGAUCAAGUCACCUGGUCGCUUGUCCGGUUAUAACUGCAAGAGCCUCCAUGCUGACCUGCGGUUGGAGUGAUCGCUCCACUCCAGCUCCUCAAAAUGAAGAUAGUCAUCAUUUUUUCCUUCUUUCCUUCUUGGGGAUUUUUAUCUUCUUAAAUACAAUCCAUUUCCUUCCUUAUUCUUUCUCUCUUUCCCAAACAUACUGAAGUUUUAUUCUAAAAAUUGCUCUUGACCUUUAGCUAAUUAUAAUACUGUAAACCCCACUGUAAUACUAUUAAAUCGGGACCAAAAAUUC
Molecule: long non-coding RNA, 1015 nt
Filed under: Equus caballus (horse)
Lineage: Eukaryota; Metazoa; Chordata; Mammalia; Perissodactyla; Equidae
Description: lncRNA (ENSECAG00000049045.1)
Source: RNAcentral